This is a non-coding RNA of Podarcis lilfordi (Lilford's wall lizard), 79 nucleotides long. The record is from the annotation of a GenBank genome assembly. Lineage: Eukaryota; Metazoa; Chordata; Lepidosauria; Squamata; Lacertidae.
ACCUGGGUAGCUCAGUGUGUAAGAGUGUGGUGUUCAUAACACCAAGGUUGUAGGUUCGAUCCUUGUAUAUUCCUGCAUA